UUUGGGCACGGCUUUGCCCGCGGCUUAUUUUUGGCACCCUGAGGCCCCUCGCAAAGUCUCGCCCCAUUCCGAGUCCGGCGGACGAACUUCGCCCGCGCCCCCCACCAAGGCUAUAGCCCACCCGUUUUUUGGCCAUUUUUCCGCUGGGGGGUUUUGGCACCACGACCUUCGGGUGCUUAUUUUUGGACGCGGCUGUGCCCGCGACUUCCCGCGGGCACCCCGAGGCCCCUCGCAAAGUCUCGCCCCAUUCCGAGUCCGGCGGACGAACUUCGCCAGCGCCCCCCACCAAGGCUAUAGCCCACCCAUUUUUUGGCCAUUUUUCCGCUGGUGGGUUUUGGCACCACGACCUUCGAGCGCUUAUUUUUGGGCGCGGCUUUGCCCGUGGCUUAUUUUUGGCACCCCGAGGCCCCGCGCAAAGUCUCACCCCAUUCCGAGUCCGGCGGACGAACUUCGCCUGCACCCCCCACCAAGGCUAUAGCCCACCCGUUUUUUGGCCAUUUUUCCGCUGGGGGGUUUUGGCACCACGACCUUCGGGCGCUUAUUUUUGGGCGCGGCUUUGCCCCGCAGCUUAUUUUUGGCACCCCGAGGCCCCUCGCAAAGUCUCGCCCCAUUUCGAGUCCGGCGGACGAACUUCGCCCGCGCCCCCCACCAAGGCUAUAGCCCACCCGUUUUUUGGCCAUUUUUCCGCUGGGGGGUUUUGGCACCACGACCUUCGGGCGCUUAUUCUUGGACGCGGCUGUGCCCGCGACUUCCCGCGGGCACCCCGAGGCCCCUCGCAAAGUCUCGCCCCAUUCCGAGUCCGGCGGAGGAACUUCGCCCGCGCCCCCCACCAAGGCUAUAGCCCACCCGUUUUUUGGCCAUUUUUCCGCUGGGGGGUUUUGGCACCACGACCUUCGGGCGCUUAUUUUUGGGCACGGCUUUGCCCGCGGCUUAUUUUUGGCACCCUGAGGCCCCUCGCAAAGUCUCGUCCCAUUCCGAGUCCGGCGGACGAACUUCGCCCGCGCCCCCCACCAAGGCUAUAGCCCACCCGUUUUUUGGCCAUUUUUCCGCUGGGGGGUUUUGGCACCACGACCUUCGGGCGCUUAUUUUUGGACACGGCUGUGCCCGCGACUUCCCGCGGGCACCCCGAGACCCCUCGCAAAGUCUCGCCCUAUUCGGAGUCCGGCGGACGAACUUCGCCCGCGCCCCCCACCAAGGCUAUAGCCCACCCGUUUUUUGGCCAUUUUUCCGCUGGGGGGUUUUGGCACCACGACCUUCGGGUGCUUAUUUUUGGGCGCGGCUUUGCCCGCGGCUUAUUGUUGGUGCCCCGAGGCCCUGCGCAAAGUCUCGUCCCAUUCAGAGUCCGGCGGACGAAG
This 1355-nucleotide long non-coding RNA is filed under the name Citrus x clementina. Its description in RNAcentral is "Citrus clementina (C. clementina) long non-coding RNA (CCLE_LNC001209)". Lineage: Eukaryota; Viridiplantae; Streptophyta; Magnoliopsida; Sapindales; Rutaceae. The record is from RNAcentral.